GUGGCUACAGUUGACGAGUACUUCUUCAAAAUCGUAUCUGCAUAUUUGAAAAAGAAAGAAGAUAAAAUUCCUUGUGCUGCAUUGUUGCAUAUCAAAAGCAUGGUAGCCUUUGAGUGACCUUGCAGGAUAUCCAAGGUACUAGGACCUUUAAAAAUGGCAGUUAUUAGGAUGGCAAGGAAAUUGAAUAUGGCACCAUACCCAUACAGAAAGAGGUUCUGAAGAUAAAUACUGGUCUCAAACUGGCUCUUCAAAGCAUACUCAUUAUAGACUGAAGCUAGUGAUGGAACAGUCACAAAAAUUAGUGUAUGCAAGUAUGCCCCUGUUGCAACUGAAAGGCCCA
RNAcentral lists this unclassified non-coding RNA (340 nucleotides) under Hevea brasiliensis (rubber tree). The record is from RNAcentral. Lineage: Eukaryota; Viridiplantae; Streptophyta; Magnoliopsida; Malpighiales; Euphorbiaceae.